GGUUUGUUUUGCCUGAACCCAUCACCAACUGGGAGAUUAAUCCACCACACUGAAAAUGG
Neotoma lepida (desert woodrat) is the source of this 59-nucleotide long non-coding RNA. It matches the Rfam family "HOX antisense intergenic RNA myeloid 1 conserved region 3". NCBI's taxonomy places the organism in Eukaryota, Metazoa, Chordata, Mammalia, Rodentia, Cricetidae. The record is from Rfam.